Molecule: regulatory RNA element, 120 nt
Organism: Domibacillus iocasae
Lineage: Bacteria; Bacillati; Bacillota; Bacilli; Caryophanales; Bacillaceae
Rfam family: epsC RNA
Source: Rfam
UGGUAAUGUCUCCUUUACCAGUAUCAAUGGGGACACUCGGCUGCGCGGUGGUGUUCUGAGAGACAGAAUGCUUAGACGCUUGUCGUCAAGCGCGGGGUGUGAGGAUGGGUUAAAUGCCCA